This 28-nucleotide non-coding RNA is filed under the name Homo sapiens (human). The record is from RNAcentral. Lineage: Eukaryota; Metazoa; Chordata; Mammalia; Primates; Hominidae.
UAGCGUGAAUGUUCUCGGUCCUGCUUGC